GACGAACGCUGGCGGCGUGCUUAACACAUGCAAGUCGAGCGGAAAGGCCCUGCUUUUGUGGGGUGCCCGAGUGGCGAACGGGUGAGUAACACGUGAGUAACCUGCCCUUGACUUUGGGAUAACUUCAGGAAACUGGGGCUAAUACCGGAUAGGAGCUCCUGCUGCAUGGUGGGGGUUGGAAAGUUUCGGCGGUUGGGGAUGGACUCGCGGCUUAUCAGCUUGUUGGUGGGGUAGUGGCUUACCAAGGCUUUGACGGGUAGCCGGCCUGAGAGGGUGACCGGCCACAUUGGGACUGAGAUACGGCCCAGACUCCUACGGGAGGCAGCAGUGGGGAAUAUUGCACAAUGGGCGGAAGCCUGAUGCAGCAACGCCGCGUGCGGGAUGACGGCCUUCGGGUUGUAAACCGCUUUCGCCUGUGACGAAGCGUGAGUGACGGUAAUGGGUAAAGAAGCACCGGCUAACUACGUG
RNAcentral lists this ribosomal RNA (468 nucleotides) under uncultured bacterium. Its description in RNAcentral is "partial 16S ribosomal RNA". It matches the Rfam family "Bacterial small subunit ribosomal RNA", at positions 28 to 507 of the family's 1533-position model. The record is from RNAcentral.